UUUUUCUUUUUUUUUUUUUUUUUUUUGUGACUGGCUUCUGAAGUUGGGGCAAAAGCAGGGGCAGUGGUCAGGAUCGGGGUGGGGGUGGGAGGAUAGGGGCAGACAGUUUUAUGGGACUGAGGGCCUUAACCUGUGGAAUCUGAUGCCACUUUGGGGUAGAUGGUAUCAGAAAUGAGUUAAAUUGUAGGAUGCCCAGCUGGUGUUGCAAGAAAAUACUUGGUGUGGGGAAAAAGCUCCACCUAUUUGUUGCCUCAAAGUGAAGUGUGUUGUGUAAAAGUAAAGGAGACACGCAGGGGAGAAAACACAGAACUGGGCUUUUCCCCUACACAAAAGGGGGAAUACUAAGUUUCUCCCUAAACGCUCUCCUACUGUUAAUCCUCCAUUUUCUGUGAAGCAAAUGAGUUGCUCCUAUAGCACUUCACUCAUAACACAGAGCACUUCCCAUGGGAAUGGGAAUUUAUGUAUUUACAUCUUCACUGGACACAAGCUCCUUGAAGUCAAGUGCUGCUUUAAUUUCAUCCCUAGUACUGAGCCUGGCAUAUUUCAGUAACUAAUUAGUUAAUGAAUUCUUCUGAUAAUAGUUAUCGUCUGUGACUGUAUCAAAGAUGGAUCCUUUGAGAGUUGCUCCUAAGGACCACUCUCUAACAAAUCCUAAUGAUAGUUAUCUGAAAGUUCUAUCUUUUACUAAGUACUUUGGUUUUGUAAAAGCUCUCUAUCAGAAGUGAACACCAUGAGGAAGAAUUAAAAAACAAAACAAAACAAUAAAUGGUUAUUGUCAGAAUUAAAUGAGUUACAUUCAAGUGAUUUCCAAGGAAAUUUGAUAUUGUAGCUACAUGAAAAGCAAAGGACAACCUGGGAUAAUACAUAAAUAGAAUUUAUGAAUUUGAAUGAAAGUUUGGCCAAAAUCUCUAAUAUCAUUUAUACAUUUGAAUGAGUAGGAGCUUCAGAGAUAGAAAUACAAAAUAUAAAUUAAAAGUUGUCCUUUAAGAGCAAUCAAUUACCAGUACUGUAUAAAAUGACAGUUAAUAAGCACCUACCAAACAUCUCACUUUAUAAGUUAUUAUGCAAAAAUAAUUUGACACAGAUGUAUGUUGGAGUUUAGAAGAACUUGGAAAUAAUGGGUAACUAAAUAUAGACAUUAAACAAAUACACAGUUAAGAAUAGAAUCAUGGGAUGUAGGAAGAAUAACCACAUUUCUAGGAUGUAGACUAGACCAAAUAAUGUAGGGUGUAGCAAGCAAUUUUGUUUUCCCAAAUCAAUUCUAGAAAGCUCCAUGGAAAAUAUCAGGAGACACACUUAAAAUAAGCAAGUACAAUAAGGCAGGUUAAGAGAGACUAAGUCCUUGGCACAGCUUGGCAGGGGCCCCAGAAGGAAGACUGGGAUGAUUCAACAAAGGAAGGAAACUUGAAAUAAACAAAGAUUGGCUAAGACCCAGAAGACAAUAAGGGUGUGAAGUGUUUUAGCUUCCUGAUAAAGAGCUUUAGGGCUGAGGGUGGCAUUCUCUAGUAUGAAGGAUGGUCAGUGUCUUCUUAGGAUUUAAAAUCUUGGGGAGAAAGAAAACAUCUCUGUCUGGUAAGGUAAGGACUGGCCAGAUGUAACCAGAAUGGAAUUUUUCCACAUCUAAUAAUUUUAUUUUCGCAUCUAAGAAUUUUUAAAUGUAGCAUUCUUCAAUAUGGCGUAUAUUUAGAUUUUCUUACCCAGACCUUUAAAGAUACUGUCAUAGAAUUCCAAAAUGGACGUAUUUGGGGAUGCUAAGAAGAUUAGUGUCAUUAGAGGAAAACAACAGCACUUAUUUUUAUUACUUGUCAUGGCAUUGAUUCAGAUAACAUCUUGUUUUUUCUAAAUGUUUCCUUUUGGUUUUUCAUGUCUCCCUAGCUAGACUGUAGAUUUCUGGAAAGCAGGCCUCCUCCUAGUAUCUAAGUAGCCCUGAAUAUUCUCUCACCUACAUAUCUUUCAUCCAUCCUCUUCUCUCUAGCCCCUAAUACCCUAAUUAUCUCUUACAUAGACCUUUGCAACAGCCUUUUUGCUGGUCUCCAAAAUUUUACGACAUAUCUAGGAAGACACAGAAAACCAAAAGGAAACACUUAGAUAACACAAGAUGGUAUACAAAACAGGUAAUAAAAAUAACUGCUAUCUUUUCCCUCUAAUACUGACAUUUCCUUUAUAGCUUUCUUCCCACCCCAUCACCUAAACUUCUAUAUUCUUGUUAUUACAACUGCUAAACAAUAUAGAUUAUAUAUAUAAACAUAUACAUACAUUACCAUCCCAGGUAGAGGGCUGGAAGGGCCAAUUCGGUAUGUAAAUGACAGGUCAUAACUUUUGUUUUGUUUUUCAAAAGAUUUUACUUAUUUAUUCAUGAGAGACACACACAGAGAGUCAGAGACACAGGCAGAGGGAGAAGCAGGCUCCCUGCAGGGAGCCCAAUGUGGGACUUGAUCCUGGGACCCCAGGAUCACGCCCAGAGCCGAAGGCAGAUGCUCAACCACUGAAUCACCCAAGCGUCCUUAAGUUUUGUUUUUAAGUCAGAAUAGAGCAAAUAGAAGUUAUAGCAAAGAUGGAUUGUUUUCAGACCCCCUGAGUGGCUUGUGGACAACUGCCAGGCUUUAACAUGCCCGGCUUUAACAUGCCCGGCUUUAACAUGCCCAAGAGAGUGUGAUGAAGUCUCAUGGAAAGCAUGAUAUUGCAGAGUAGAAAGAGGAGGAAGCUUUCAGGUAAGUCAGAAAAAGAGUUGGAAAAAAGGAAUGCUUUUUAGGGAAGUAGGGAGAUGUAAGAGAAAAGGGAGAUGAGGAGGGAGGAGGAGACAUGCAGCCCUCACGGCACAGUUCCCUGGCGGAGAGUCAUGGAACUAUGUGGAGCCUCCGAGUGUUCUGGACUUGGUCUAGGGGGAGCAGAGAGAAGAUGCUGAGUGGUCUAAAUUCUAGACCAGAAAGAAGAGGAUAAAAGAAAAUAGGAACAAAAUCCUCUUUUGGGGGAAAAGGAGCAGGAACAAGGGCUUUUAUAUAUUUUGAUGCUAGACAAGCCUGGAGAAUGAUGCACCUAGUCAAGGUUAGGAAAAGCCACCUGCCAGAGACAGAGAUGAUUUACAGCAGGGCUUCUUAAACUUUAAUGUGCAGUUGAAUCACAACUAGGGAUCUGGUUAGAAUACAGAUUAUAAUUCAGCAGGACUGGGGUGGAGCCCAAGAGUUUGCAUUUCUAACAAGCUCCCAGGGGAAGCUAUGCUGUUUUGAGUAGUAAGGAUUUACAUACAGUAUUUAACAUAAGGAUUUAAAGCAUUUUUAUUAAAUACAUACAUACAUACAUAAAUAAAUGCAUUACUGCCUCUCAAUAUAGAUAUCUUCUGUGGGUUUAUCAAAGGCUCUAAGUAGGAAAUUAUCCUCUUUUUUAAACUCAGUUGAUGGCAACGAAGACAUAUCUUAGAUUAAAAGAGGGAAUACAAUGUACAGUUCAAACUAAUAACAUAUUUGAAAGCAUCAUUGUUAGAUGUCUAUAUUAAUAACAAGAUAAAUACCUGUGUUGUUUAAGCAACACAUCUGCACAUGAAAGUACCCAAAAUAACUUUUUGUGAUGGUAGAAGUAUUCUAUAUCUGAACUCCAGAAUAGUAGCCAUUAACCACCCAUGGUAGUUAAGCACUUGAAAUGUAGCUAGUAUGACCACUGAGUGAAUUUUUUAAUAUUGACUUCUUUUUUAAAAAAUAUUUUUUUAUUUACUGAUUCAUGACAGACACAGAGAGAGUCAGAGACAUAGGCAGAGCCUGAUGCAGGACUCGAUCCCAGGACUCCAGGAUCACACCCUGAGCCAAAGGCAGAUGCUCAACCACUGAGCCACUCAUUCAUUUUAAUUUUAUUGAAUUUAAUUGAUUUUAAUUUAAACAGCCACUCAUAGCUAGUGGCUACAAUGACCAUGAGAGCUAAUAGCAUCAACCAAAAGACAACCAGAUGUUUUUGCUUCUGGAACUGAUGGUGUAAGGGAAUUGAUGUACCUGAGCACCAUAAAAGGCAGCUAUAACAGCCAAGGGAUUUACUCCUCAGUUUUUCUAAAGUCCAGUUCUCCUGCCAAGUCAUCACCCACAGUAAUAACGACUUGAAAUAGAAGGCAUAUCCAUCCCACCAAGGACCUCAUCUUUGAGAAGUUAUAUCUAAUAGCAAAACACACACACACACACACACACACACACACACACGAAAACACACAGAGGGAAAAAAAAAGGAAAACACACACAGGUUUUUCAUGGAGAAAAUUUUAGUUUGAGCUCUAGCUACAGCCUCACGAACAUGUGACCUCUGGUAAGUCAUCUAGACUCUCUAAUCGUCAGGUCCUAAUUCUUUCUGUAAAUUGGAAUUGGUGAUAAUACCUAGUAGGCAAAGGUGUUAGGAAGGUAAGUUCCUAAAGGACAUUCCAGAUUUCAUAGUUGUAUACAAUGACUAAGUAUUAUUUACUAAAAGGGAAGUCAAAUGCCAUAUUUAAAACAAAAUCCAAGGAAUCAUCUAGACCGUUUGUUGUACUGAAUUUGUUGCAUGCACAUAGCCUUGGAAAUGUUAUGUAACAGAUAUUUCAAUCCUUUAGAUUUACUGUAAUGGGGUAUAACCUUCAAGGAACAUGCAUGCCAAAUCCGUUUGGAAGAAUGAUGGUAAAGGAGAAGUGCUUUAUUUAGCAGCGUGGAGCCUGGUAAGCAUCCUCCCUGCUAAGAUUAUGCUGAAAAGAAAGGAAAUCGCACACUGCUCAUUUCCCUUGUACUGGUUGUAAUCUUGUGGAAACUUCCUGUAAAAGGCAGUUAUAGCAUUAAAAGUAAACUGAUUUCACACUCACCGGAUACUGCCAGACCAACAAUUGUAGUCCUUUGGGAGAAAAAUAAAAUAGCAUACUUAUCCUUUAUACUUUGUAUUAGUUUGGAGGAACAUGGAAACCCUAGUGAUGGAGAAACAGACCCAUGCCAGAGGCAAGGAAACUAUUUAGAAACAUGGUUACCAUUUAGUAAUUCCACUGAGAGGCAGAGCUCAUUAGCCAAGACACUGGUUACACUAAAAAAAAAAAAAAAAAAAAAAA
RNAcentral lists this long non-coding RNA (5044 nucleotides) under Canis lupus familiaris (dog). RNAcentral describes it as "lncRNA (ENSCAFG00000053907.1)". The record is from RNAcentral. Lineage: Eukaryota; Metazoa; Chordata; Mammalia; Carnivora; Canidae.